Molecule: long non-coding RNA, 431 nt
Filed under: Capsicum annuum
Lineage: Eukaryota; Viridiplantae; Streptophyta; Magnoliopsida; Solanales; Solanaceae
Description: long non-coding RNA (CANN_LNC001865)
Source: RNAcentral
UCCGCUUCAUAAUAUUGAAAUUGAAUUUUUCAUAAUCAUGAUAUUACAUUAUACAAAGAAAGAUAGAGGGUUACCUCUUAGGAGAAUAGUUGCCAACAACAAAAAAAAUGAAAAAGUUGUGAACUCGAAAUCACAAACCAAACCUCAAACUCCAAUUCGUUGUCUACUCGUCUUGUACUCUCUUCGAUUUUCUCUUUUUGUUUUUCCUAAGUUUUGCACCUCUCCUUCUGUGAUUUCUCUUUUCAAAUUCUUUCUCAUCUUUGUUUUCUUAAAUUCUCACUGUUCGUCCCUUCCUUUCUCUUUUCUCUUACCUUUUUCUCUCUUUUUUUUUGUUUAAUUUUCUAAUGCCUUUUAAAUUUUCCAUGUUGUUCUCUUCUUUGUCUUUUUUUUUUUGUUUCAGUUUCCUUUUUUAUUUUUGGGUUUCUGUCUGU